UUUUUUUUUCGUUCUUAACUUACAGCAACACAGAAUCUUAUAAAGUAUGGAAGGCAGAAACAUGUAGAAAAUGUAUUGCCCAGUAUCGAUGGUAUUGCGAUCCGUGGAGAAUUGUCACAUGUAAUAGACAUGUGACUAAAUUAAGGUGUACAACAGGCUGGACUCACAAUGGAGACUACAACUGUAGCAUCCCAAUAUGUAAACCGAACUGUGGAUCCGUUGGGGAGUGUGUGGCUCCUGGUAAAUGUGAUUGUAAAGGUCUAGCAGAAGGUCAGUAUUGUCAGGAGUGUAAGUUAUUGAAUUGCUUAUCC
Molecule: long non-coding RNA, 311 nt
Organism: Ruditapes philippinarum (Manila clam)
Lineage: Eukaryota; Metazoa; Mollusca; Bivalvia; Venerida; Veneridae
Exons: 3
Source: RefSeq, a predicted model, not a curated record